Molecule: ribosomal RNA, 377 nt
Filed under: uncultured eukaryote
Lineage: Eukaryota
Description: partial 18S ribosomal RNA
Rfam family: Eukaryotic small subunit ribosomal RNA
Source: RNAcentral
CAAUAGCGUAUAUUUAAGUUGCUGCAGUUAAAAAGCUCGUAGUUGGAUUUCGGGUGGGAAUGGCCGGUCCGCCGUUUCGGUGUGCACUUGCUACGCCCACCUUGCUGCCGGGGACGUGCUCUUGAGUUCACGCUCGGGACACGGAGUCGGCGAGGUUACUUUGAGUAAAUUAGAGUGUUCAAAGCAGGCCUACGCUCUGAAUACAUUAGCAUGGAAUAACACGAUAGGAAUCUGGCCUAUCUUGUUGGUCUGUAGGACCGGAGUAAUGAUUAAGAGGGACAGUCGGGGGCAUUCGUAUUUCAUUGUCAGAGGUGAAAUUCUUGGAUUUAUGAAAGACGAACUACUGCGAAAGCAUUUGCCAAGGAUGUUUUCAUUAA